This 309-nucleotide ribosomal RNA is filed under the name uncultured Planctomycetota bacterium. Its description in RNAcentral is "bacterial SSU rRNA". It matches the Rfam family "Bacterial small subunit ribosomal RNA", at positions 29 to 351 of the family's 1533-position model. The record is from RNAcentral. Lineage: Bacteria; Pseudomonadati; Planctomycetota.
AAUGAACGUUGGCGGCGUGGAUUAGGCAUGCAAGUCGUGCGGAAAGGCCCCGUAAGGGGUACUCGAGCGGCGAAAGGGAUAGUAACGCGUAGGUCACCCACCCUUGGGACGGGAAUAGCUGGGGGAAACUCCAAUUAAUGCCCGAUGACGUCUUCGGACCAAAGGUGUGAUUCCGCCCGGGGACGGGCCUGCGUCCUAUCAGCUAGUUGGUGAGGUAACGGCCCACCAAGGCAACGACGGGUAGCGGGUGUGAGAGCAUGACCCGCAUCACUGGGAUUGAGACACUGCCCAGACACCUACGGGUGGCAG